AGUGCUAAAAUGUGCUUCUGGGGAUAGCCAAACAGGCCCUUAAAUCCUCACUAAAAGCAUACACAAACUAACGGGCUGAUAGCGGAAAGGAGAAACGGGUCGGGUAAUCUAACGAGUUUAUAUCCACCCCACUUGAUAGAAGUCAGUGCUGCCCUUUUUAAUUUCAUCGUCUGCUCGCUCUUGUUAUUGUACUGUGAAAGAUGGCAAACUCGAAACAGUUAUUUAGCAAAAUCAUAGGAAAGGUGAACAGUGCUCGAGUUAUAAGGGAACUUUGUGCAGAUGUAAACCCGAAAACCAUUGAAAGCUUCCGUUUGCUCUGCGCAGCAGAAAAAAAGUUUGGACUUUCUGGGAUACCAUCGCACCACUAUGGAUCAAGCUUUCAGCGAGGAAUCUCUGGCUCCAAGGGUCGCCAUGUAAUUCCAGGAUUCAUGUCUCAGGGAGAAGUCUUUACAAGGGGCUAUGCAUCAGGAGGUGAAGCUGUCCAGAAGGUUAAAGAGGAGAGCCUAAAGCAUGCAGGACGUGGUGUUCGUUCAGUGGCCAAUGCUGGACGAAGUAGCAGUGCAUCCGAAUUUCAAGAAAUUAUGGCAGAUUACGUUCACCAAGAAAUGACCCGAACUUGGAUCUUGGUCCUAAUGAGAUUGUUCCUGAUUAUUGCAAUCAAAGAUGUUUUCGUGUCUCUCGUUUUUUCAGACACAAAAGAUGAGGCAAGUAACGUGGAUUGAUGAAAUAAGCGAAGCAAUUGACCUGAAUUUUUUAGACGUAAAUGAGGUACAUGUGAUCUACCUUAUAAAAGUCUGUUUGUUUUAAGCUUUGUGGCACCAGCCCAGCCAGCUGGUAGCUUUAGGUUCCAGAUUGCUUGAGAAUAAAGAAUCAGCUGAUGUAAAAUGUGGAUUCUGCUUUUGUUUGCUUGGUUAUGACAUGUGCUCUGUUUGUGCAAUAACUUAAUGUCCUCAAAAUGGACAUUCUUUUGAACAAGACCCGCUUUAUAGUUUCUUUGUUUACACAA
Molecule: RNA transcript, 1006 nt
Organism: Daucus carota subsp. sativus
Lineage: Eukaryota; Viridiplantae; Streptophyta; Magnoliopsida; Apiales; Apiaceae
Exons: 2
Source: RefSeq, a predicted model, not a curated record